This 1796-nucleotide ribosomal RNA is filed under the name Listeria monocytogenes. RNAcentral's name for it is "partial 23S ribosomal RNA". It matches the Rfam family "Bacterial large subunit ribosomal RNA", at positions 97 to 1885 of the family's 2925-position model. The record is from RNAcentral. Lineage: Bacteria; Bacillati; Bacillota; Bacilli; Caryophanales; Listeriaceae.
CGUUGAUCCAGAGAUUUCCGAAUGGGGGAACCCACUAUCUUUAGUCGGAUAGUAUCCUUACGUGAAUACAUAGCGUGAGGAAGGCAGACCCAGGGAACUGAAACAUCUAAGUACCUGGAGGAAGAGAAAGAAAAAUCGAUUUCCUGAGUAGCGGCGAGCGAAACGGAAAGAGCCCAAACCAAGAAGCUUGCUUCUUGGGGUUGUAGGACACUCUAUACGGAGUUACAAAAGAAAGUUAUAAAUGAAGCGGUCUGGAAAGGCCCGCCAAAGACGGUAACAGCCCGGUAGUUGAAAUGGCUUUCCCUCCAGAGUGGAUCCUGAGUACGGCGGAACACGUGAAAUUCCGUCGGAAUCCGGGAGGACCAUCUCCCAAGGCUAAAUACUCCCUAGUGACCGAUAGUGAACCAGUACCGUGAGGGAAAGGUGAAAAGCACCCCGGAAGGGGAGUGAAACAGUUCCUGAAACCGUGUGCCUACAAGUAGUUAGAGCCCGUUAAUGGGUGAUAGCGUGCCUUUUGUAGAAUGAACCGGCGAGUUACGAUUUGUUGCAAGGUUAAGCGGAAAAAGCGGAGCCGUAGCGAAAGCGAGUCUGAAUAGGGCGCAUAAGUAACAGGUCGUAGACCCGAAACCAGGUGAUCUACCCAUGUCCAGGAUGAAGGUAAGGUAAUACUUACUGGAGGUCCGAACCCACGCACGUUGAAAAGUGCGGGGAUGAGGUGUGGGUAGCGGAGAAAUUCCAAUCGAACUUGGAGAUAGCUGGUUCUCUCCGAAAUAGCUUUAGGGCUAGCCUCGAGGUAAAGAGUCAUGGAGGUAGAGCACUGUUUGGACUAGGGGCCCUUCUCGGGUUACCGAAUUCAGAUAAACUCCGAAUGCCAUGUACUUAUACUCGGGAGUCAGACUGCGAGUGAUAAGAUCCGUAGUCGAAAGGGAAACAGCCCAGACCACCAGUUAAGGUCCCCAAAUAUAUGUUAAGUGGAAAAGGAUGUGGGGUUGCUUAGACAACCAGGAUGUUGGCUUAGAAGCAGCCACCAUUGAAAGAGUGCGUAAUAGCUCACUGGUCGAGUGACCCCGCGCCGAAAAUGUACCGGGGCUAAACAUAUUACCGAAACUGUGGAUGAACCUCUUUAGAGGUUCGUGGUAGGAGAGCGUUCUAAGGGCGGUGAAGUCAGACCGGAAGGACUGGUGGAGCGCUUAGAAGUGAGAAUGCCGGUAUGAGUAGCGAAAGAAGGGUGAGAAUCCCUUCCACCGAAUAUCUAAGGUUUCCUGAGGAAGGCUCGUCCGCUCAGGGUUAGUCGGGACCUAAGCCGAGGCCGAUAGGCGUAGGCGAUGGACAACAGGUAGAGAUUCCUGUACCAGUGCUAAUUGUUUAACCGAUGGGGUGACACAGAAGGAUAGGGAAUCGCACGAAUGGAAAUGUGCGUCCAAGCAGUGAGUGUGAGAAGUAGGCAAAUCCGCUUCUCGCGAAGCAUGAGCUGUGAUGGGGAAGGAAAUUAAGUACGGAAGUUCCUGAUUUCACGCUGUCAAGAAAAGCCUCUAGGAAGAGUAGUACUGCCCGUACCGCAAACCGACACAGGUAGAUGAGGAGAGAAUCCUAAGGUGAGCGAGAGAACUCUCGUUAAGGAACUCGGCAAAAUGACCCCGUAACUUCGGGAGAAGGGGUGCUCUAUUAGGGUGCAAGCCCGAGAGAGCCGCAGUGAAUAGGCCCAGGCGACUGUUUAGCAAAAACACAGGUCUCUGCAAAACCGUAAGGUGACGUAUAGGGGCUGACGCCUGCCCGGUGCUGGAAGGUUAAGAGGA